RNAcentral lists this non-coding RNA (752 nucleotides) under Alboglossiphonia lata. Lineage: Eukaryota; Metazoa; Annelida; Clitellata; Rhynchobdellida; Glossiphoniidae. The record is from RNAcentral.
UAUUAGUUUGAUUCUAACUAAUUUAUUAAAUUUUAUUUUAUACCUUAUGUAAAAAUAAACUAAAAGUAAAUUAUAGAUUAUAUUACAUUAAUGAAUAAUAUAGUUAAUUACAAUGGUUAAAACUAAUCAAUAUAUAAAAGUAUGAACUGGUAAAUAUAAUAUAAUGUCGGCCAAAUUCGUGCCAGCAGCCGCGGUUAGACGAUGGACAUAUAAUAAAAAAAACUUUUAUAGAUAUAAUAAAAUUACUAAUAAGUCUAAUUAUGACACAUACUGAAUCUUAUAUAUCAUAAAUAAAUUAUAAACUAAAACAAGGAUUAGAUACCCUUUUAUUUAUAACCUAUUUUAAAAGUUGGAAAAUACGAACAAUAGUUUAAAAACCAAAGAAUUUGGCGGUGUCUUAUUUUAUUAGGGGAACCUGUUUCAUAAACGAUAAUCCACGAAUGUCCAACCUAAUUUUGAAAUUCAGUUAGUGUACUGCCGUCAUAAGUAUACCUUCAUGAGUGUAUGCAAAAAAUUUAAUUUUAAAUUUAAUGUCAGGUCAAAGUGCAGCUUAUAAUUAGGAAGAUAAUGGGUUACAAUAUUAAUAGAUAUACGGAUAAAUAUAAUAAACUAUGUUUUGAAGGUGGACUUAAUAGUAAUUAAAAUAAAAUUUUAAUGAAUUUAACACUAAGACAUGUACAAAUCGCCCGUCACUCCUUAACAGGGAUAAGUCGUAACAUAGUAAAUGUAACGGAAGUUGCAUUUGUCAGAUU